Drosophila pseudoobscura is the source of this 942-nucleotide long non-coding RNA. RefSeq lists it as uncharacterized. The record is from RefSeq and is a predicted model, not a curated record. The transcript is spliced from 3 exons. Lineage: Eukaryota; Metazoa; Arthropoda; Insecta; Diptera; Drosophilidae.
UUAGAAGACAAAAAACGGCUUUCAAUGAAUCUCAUCACUAGCUGACUCGAGUCUGCAAUUAAUAAAAGCGUGCCAAUCACGUGAUCUAUGGUUCCAUACCUCAGGGGUAGCUGAACUUUGGAUAAACGGGUUUGCAUUUGGCGGUUGCUGUUCUUUUCUUUCACUUUGAGUUCUUCUUUUUCUAGAAAUUUGAUGGUUGAAUGUGUGUCAGACGACGAUUCGUACUUUGAACCCUCGAUCAGACACAUCCACACAUAUACACAUAGGAGAAGGGCGGUAGACAAUUGACUACAUAUUUCAAUUGGAAUUUGUUUAUAGGCAAAUCAAUUGAUUCACAUGAGAACCUUUGACGUCUCCAAUUGCCAAACAAUUUGCUGGCCCAUGCUGUCAAUUAGACUUUGUGCCUUCAUGGCGCAACAGAACAGCCAAAUUGCAAAGCACUAGCCGAGGGAAAGCCUCACGCAACCUUUGCUGAUAGCAGAACAAAUUUGCUUAUCGGAGGAGGUACUCUGCUAAUCCGGAUUUCUAGGUGUACGCCAAGUGCUUCGAUUCGAAGAGUCUGAAAUGCGAUUUUCGAAAAAACAGUUUCCAUUUCCGUAACGUUGAACACUUCAUUUUAAUAGUUUUCACUCAUACGAAUACAUGGUAUUAUUCAAUAAUUUGUGGCGUCACAGCACGCAUACUCGUAUAUAGUAUUGUAUAGUAAAGUUUUGUACGUUUGUGUAUAUUUAUAAUAUGUAAAUAGGUCACAAAAUUGCCCAGCACGAGAUGCUAUGAGAACGCUUCUCGCAUAAAACACAUUUCAAUAACUAUUAAUAGGAGUGCUCACUGUAGUCCAUUGUUAAAACCCUGAUAUCUAGCUAUUCUCGGCUUUUAAAAUAUACAUGUAUGUAGAAUAUAGAAACCCUGAACUUAUUCUUAAUAUAUUAAUAAUAUGUAACU